UACGUAGGGUGCGAGCGUUAAUCGGAUUUACUGGGCGUAAAGCGUGCGCAGGCGGCCCGUUAAGACAGGCGUGAAAUCCCUGGGCUCAACCUAGGAAUUGCGCUUGUGACUGGCGGGCUCGAGUACGGUAGAGGGGGGUGGAAUUCCUGGUGUAGCAGUGAAAUGCGUAGAGAUCAGGAGGAACACCGAUGGCGAAGGCAGCCCCCUGGGCCUGUACUGACGCUCAUGCACGAAAGCGUGGGGAGCAAACAGG
RNAcentral lists this ribosomal RNA (253 nucleotides) under uncultured microorganism. RNAcentral's name for it is "partial 16S ribosomal RNA". It matches the Rfam family "Bacterial small subunit ribosomal RNA", at positions 524 to 776 of the family's 1533-position model. The record is from RNAcentral.